This 29-nucleotide small RNA is filed under the name Bombyx mori (domestic silkworm). RNAcentral's name for it is "ovarian small RNA-36632". Lineage: Eukaryota; Metazoa; Arthropoda; Insecta; Lepidoptera; Bombycidae. The record is from RNAcentral.
UUACUCCUUUAAGUCACCGACACUGAUGC